AUUGAACGCUGGCGGCAGGCCUAACACAUGCAAGUCGAACGGAAACAGGAAACAGCUUGCUGUUUCGCUGACGAGUGGCGGACGGGUGUGAAAUGUCUGGGAAACUGCUUGAUGGAGGGGGAAAACUACUGGAAACGGUAGCUAAUACCGCAUAACGUUGCAACACCAAAGAGGGGGACCCUCGGGCCUCUUUCCAUUGGAUGUGCCCAGACGGAAUUAGCUUGUUGGUGGGGUAACGGGUCACCAAGUCGACGAUCCCUAGCUGGUCUGAGAGGGUGACCAGCCACACUGGAACUGAGACACGGUCCAGACUCCUACGGGAGGCAGCAGUGGGGAAUAUUGCACAAUGGGCGCAAGCCUGAUGCAGCCAUGCCGCGUGUAUGAAGAAGGCCUUCGGGUUGUAAAGUUCUUUCAGCGGGGAGGAAGAAAGUAAUAAGAAAAUCUUUGCGCAUUGACGUUACCCGCAGAAGAAGCCCCGGCUAACUCCGUG
RNAcentral lists this ribosomal RNA (490 nucleotides) under uncultured bacterium. RNAcentral describes it as "partial 16S ribosomal RNA". It matches the Rfam family "Bacterial small subunit ribosomal RNA", at positions 30 to 507 of the family's 1533-position model. The record is from RNAcentral.